AUGGAAAGCCUCACCCUGCCUGCCUGUGUGAACUUGGCUGUUGAUCUACAUAGCAGCAGGACCUGGGGUUCCCUGCAAGUCGUAAGCCAUAUCUCAGGACUGGAAUUCCAGUUUCAUUGCCUGUACACACUUGGAGUGCUUUCAGGUGCCUCCUUUGUGAAACAGCAUGAAACUUCCAGUGAAGUAGUACAUUUGUAUAUGUUAUGGAUUCUGCUGGAAAUAAGCACAUUUUCUGGAAGUCAUUCUCCAGGACAUCGAAGAUGUUUCGGACAAGGAAGGAAUGGAAUUAUUGGGAUAAUUCAUGGACAGCCAGGAUGGAGUUCCACCUGCAGACUUUCCAGUUGCAGAUUUGAACUGAAAUUCCCAUGAGAAGGAUGUUUUGUGUGGUCAUUUCAUGGUGUUUGCGGCCUCUGCCAUGGUUAUAGAACUCAGUGCACUCCUGUGGUCUCCACAUAUGUCUCCAGUUCCACUUUCCAAAUGCUGUGUCCACUGGAGCUACUCUUACAUCCACAGGGGAUCAGUAGGAAGUACUUUAGCCCUCUGCACACCUCACAUUGGCAUUUAGCAAAACAAAUCAAUAUGACAAGACUGCAUUAAUCAGACCAAUAGAUGAUACUUAUUAUUUUAUAUACACAGGCUCUUAUAAGUUACUACAGGGCACCUUCACAUUCUUGCUGAUGUCCUCCCUGUAUGUGGUGCACUGGAAGAGGAGGGGCAGUUUUAUAGGACAUACAGGGACAGCAAGACAAGGAGCUUCAACUGGAUGGAAGCCCUGUCCUCUGAAGAAGUUACUUGUGAAGAGCCAGAAAGAAAAUCAUUAAAUCUGGUAACUGCAUUGAUGUGAGUUUGUAACACAAAUGGACACAGCACAAUUCUCCCCAUUCCUUCUGGAUUGGCACUGUGUUGGGAAAGGUGAUAAAGAAAAUUUCUGCUGUGCUACUUAUAUUUAUGAUAGAUGAAAGCCUCUCUAAAAAUGACACCCUCUUGCUCUCUUUCAUGAUCUUCUGAUAUAUCUUGAUUGCUGACUAAGGUAGCAACAUGGAUAAUCAAGCUUUUAAAGGCCCUAUUUAAUAAAUCUUAUAACAACAUUAAGAGAAGCUAAGGU
Cyanistes caeruleus (blue tit) is the source of this 1105-nucleotide long non-coding RNA. The record is from Ensembl. NCBI's taxonomy places the organism in Eukaryota, Metazoa, Chordata, Aves, Passeriformes, Paridae.